GACGUAGGAUGCGAGCGUUGUUCGGAUUCAUUGGGCGUAAAGGGUGCGUAGGCGGCGCGGUAAGUCGGGUGUGAAAUCUUGGAGCUUAACUCCGAAACUGCAUUCGAUACUGCCGUGCUUGAGGACUGGAGAGGAGACUGGAAUUUACGGUGUAGCGGUGAAAUGCGUAGAUAUCGUAAGGAAGACCAGUGGCGAAGGCGGGUCUCUGGACAGUUCCUGACGCUGAGGCACGAAGGCCAGGGGAGCAAACGGG
This 253-nucleotide ribosomal RNA is filed under the name uncultured bacterium. RNAcentral describes it as "partial 16S ribosomal RNA". It matches the Rfam family "Bacterial small subunit ribosomal RNA", at positions 524 to 776 of the family's 1533-position model. The record is from RNAcentral.